AAUUUAUCGAGAUUUAUUUAUAUGGUUAGUUAUAUUCAGUAUGUAUCCUCGUCCAUGAAACUAGAUUAUAAUGUCCAUAUGUUACUUGACCCAAGAAGCGUUUUCUUUUCUUUCACUUCCGAUUUUCGAAUUUGGAACUUCAAAAAAAUUAUAACAAGUAGGUCUUAUUUCAAUUUUAUUUGAAGUUAGGUUGUUUUGAGGAGUCAACACGAACUUCCGGGAUAUUGCAAUUUGCAAUCACGCAAAUCUGUUCCAGAUAAUGGCGAAAAUCCUCGGAAUACGCGCGAAUAUUCUAGAUUUACUUAUAUAAAUGAAUAACAAUCGUAGGAUCGCCUUUAUUGUAUUGGCUGGCCUGUGGGCCUAAAUAAAGACAUCGUGUGAUACGUGAUUACGAUAGCAGCCUUAUGGUGCAACAUUUACACGCCGCCAUUUUGUACUUCUAGAAGCUAGACGUUCCUCCAUAACUCAAUAGCUUACUCCCCUCUCGCAUGGAAUGGACUCGUCUGAACAAAUUGUUGAUUCAAGGCCACAUGCUGCAGUCAAGUGACAUGAUAUUGUGUGAGUAACAUUUCGCCCGCUUUGUCAUUGUUCUCUUCUUCAGGAUCUUCAAUCUCUAUUCCCAAACAGGGGCGUAACUAGGACUUGGUUUUUGGAGAUUGUAGGACACUCCACACCGAGGGUUUGGAACUGAUAUAAGGCACUUUGGAAAUGCAGACGACAAUACUUUGAUGUGAAAGUUUGAAUACAACUAACUGAUUUAAGAAAAGAAUUGAGGGUAUGAGUCAACAGGAGCGUAGCAUAGUAAAUGAAUAAGCUAAUUUAGUCUAUAGUGUUAUGAGCGACUCUGAAUAAAACAGAGACUCUGAAUAAAACAGAGCAGCGCAAUGAUCAGAAAUUAAUCCCUGGAGUGAAAUGAGCAACUAACAAUUCAUCGGCUCAGCAGUCUUCAGUCACCUCCUUAUAAUGUUUUCAUGCCUUCAGGAAGAUGGUUGAAUAGUUUUAUGUGUAUUUUAUUGUUUUUGAUAUUGACAAGUAAAAGUGAUGUAGGCCGAACUGUAGAUGACGAAAUCCAUUAAAUCACUCAUGGCAUGGAAGAUUUUAGUAUAAAAUAAAAUAAUGAGUUUGACACAGCCCUAAAGAAGAGCAGCUUUCAAUAUAUAAUAAUGUUAAUAAUGCAGUAAAAUUAUGUAACGUACAUUUUUGUGAAACAAAAAAUAUUUUUUUACAUUAACUAAUUUAAGUGUAACGUUGGCCCAACUGUUAUAAAAUCCAUUAAAUCACUCAUGGCAUGGAAGAUUCUAGUAUAAAAUAAAAUAAUGAGUUUGACACAGCCCUAAAGAAGAGCAGCUUUCAAUAUAUAAUAAUGUUAAUAAUGCAGUAAAAUUAUGUAACGUACAUUUUUGUGAAACAAAAAAUAUUUUUUUACAUUAACUAAUUUAAGUAACGUUGGCCCAACUGUUAUAAAAUCCAUUAAAUCACUCAUGGCAUGGAAGAUUCUAGUAUAAAAUAAAAUAAUGAGUUUGACACAGCCCUAAAGAAGAGCAGCUUUCAAUAUAUAAUAAUGUUAAUAAUGCAGUAAAAUUAUGUAACGUACAUUUUUGUGAAACAAAAAAUAUUUUUUUACAUUAACUAAUUUAAGUAACGUUGGCCCAACUGUUAUAAAAUCCAUUAAAACCGCCCAUGGCAUGGAAGGUUUCAAAGUGUGAAACAACAUUUUUGUUAUUGACAUUAAUAAAAUCAAUAAAAUGAAAUAUAAUAAUGAAAUUGAUACAGCCUUGUAUAAGAGCAGUUGUCAAUAUAAAAUUGUGAAAUUGUAAUAAAAUUAUGUAAAGUAAAUUAUCUCUGGAAAAUA
Homalodisca vitripennis (glassy-winged sharpshooter) is the source of this 1852-nucleotide long non-coding RNA. RefSeq lists it as uncharacterized. Lineage: Eukaryota; Metazoa; Arthropoda; Insecta; Hemiptera; Cicadellidae. The record is from RefSeq and is a predicted model, not a curated record. The transcript is spliced from 3 exons.